Sinocyclocheilus rhinocerous is the source of this 172-nucleotide long non-coding RNA. RefSeq lists it as uncharacterized. NCBI's taxonomy places the organism in Eukaryota, Metazoa, Chordata, Actinopteri, Cypriniformes, Cyprinidae. The record is from RefSeq and is a predicted model, not a curated record. The transcript has 3 exons.
AUUCCUGAUAAUUUACUCACCCCCAUGUCAUCCAAGAUUAUAUGAGUUUGUUUCUUCAUCUGAACAGACUUGGAAAUAUUUAGCAUUGCAUCUCACCAAUGGAUCGUCUGUGUGAAUGGGUGCCGUCAGAAUGAGAGUUCAAAUAGGUUAGCUGAAAAAAAACAUCACAAUA